CUUGGGAUACCCAGAGGAAACUUAGGCUAAUACCGGAUAACAACAGAGAAGGCAUCUUCUUUGCUUGAAAGGCCCCUUCAAGGGUCACUUAAGGAUGGACCUGCGGCGCAUUAGCUAGUUGGUGAGAUAACAGCCCACCAAGGCGAGGAUGCGUAGCCGAACUGAGAGGUUGAUCGGCCACAUUGGAACUGAGACACGGUCCAAACUCCUACGGGAGGCAGCAGUAAGGAGUUUUCGGCAAUGGGGGAAACCCUGACCGAGCAACGCCGCGUGAGCGAUGACGGCCCUAUGGGGUUUGUAAAGCUCUGUUGUAAGCCAUGAAUGACAGCUUGAGGAAAUGCAAGUUGUUUGACGACAGCUUACCAGAAAGCCACGGCUAACUACGUGCCAGCAGCUGC
This 398-nucleotide ribosomal RNA is filed under the name uncultured bacterium. Its description in RNAcentral is "bacterial SSU rRNA". It matches the Rfam family "Bacterial small subunit ribosomal RNA", at positions 137 to 518 of the family's 1533-position model. The record is from RNAcentral.